This 496-nucleotide ribosomal RNA is filed under the name uncultured bacterium. RNAcentral's name for it is "partial 16S ribosomal RNA". It matches the Rfam family "Bacterial small subunit ribosomal RNA", at positions 899 to 1397 of the family's 1533-position model. The record is from RNAcentral.
ACUCAAAUGAAUAGACGGGGGCCCGCACAAGCGGCGGAGCAUGUGGCUUAAUUCGACGCAACGCGAAGAACCUUACCUGGGUUUGACAUGCGGGGUGAAACCGUAGAAACACGGUGCUCUUCGGAGCCCGCACAGGUGGUGCAUGGCUGUCGUCAGCUCGUGCCGUGAGGUGUUGCCUUAAGUGGCGCAACGAGCGCAACCCCUGUCCUUAGUUGCCAGCGAGUCAAGUCGGGAACUCUAGGGAGACUGCCGGUGCCAAACCGGAGGAAGGUGGGGAUGACGUCAAGUCAUCAUGCCCCUUAUAUCCAGGGCUGCACACAUGCUACAAUGCGUGGUACAGAGGGCUGCGAUCCAGUAAUGGUGAGCGAAUCCCAGAAAGCCACGCUCAGUUCGGAUCGAGGUCUGCAACCCGACCUCGUGAAGUUGGAGUCGCUAGUAAUCGCAGAUCAGCAGUGCUGCGGUGAAUACGUUCUCGGGCCUUGUACACACCGCCCGU